CUCAUUGCCACCCCCUCCGCGGCCCGAGGUUUGCGACCACAGUCUCCUCCUCCCCCGUCACCGCCGGCGGUACGCAGCCGGCUGGGUUCCCGCUCCGCGAGGGAAGGUCACAAUAGCUGCUCUAUCGGCGGAGGCGCCCGCCUCCCCCCUCUCGGGUCUCGGGAAGGCAGAGAAAGGACGGUGGGGGAGGGGAGCUCGGGCCGGCAAUGGCGCCCCAGGCCCAGGCAGCUCCUUCUCCCGCGGAGGACCUGCAGCGGGAAGAGGCACGUCUGCAGCGGAAGGACACCGCCACUCCAGACCGAGGCUUCUUCCCGGGAGCGGCGCGCGGGCUCCGUGGGGAGCUCACCACGGUCUCGAGGAGGCUGCUCGCUGGCCCCUAGCCGCCGCGCGCUGCUGGAUCGAGGGCGCCCGCAGCAGCGGACCUUCCGGGAGCAGCGGCGCCAUUGUGAGCGCGGCUUCCCACGGGCCCCGCGGCCGGGAAGCCGCACAAAGGCGGCAAGGCGUCCGACACCCGCAGGUGGGGAGGGGCCGGCCCAAGGGGAGGAAAUGGCUCUUUGGCUCUGGUCGUGGCCGGCUCUGCCUUUUUUUCGCCCCCCUACUUAGACCCAUUGGAGGGAGGUCUUAUCAGGGAGGUUGUGGGCGAUUCUCCUGGGACCUGAAGAAAGGGGUCAGGGCCCCAAGCCUAGGCCUAUGGAUGGGGGUGGAAGUCAUUUGGGAGCCCCCUAGUCUGUCUUGCCAAUCAAACCUGAAUUAAAGCAGGGUUGAGAUGAAGUGGCUGGAAUGACCAGCUGCAGAAUGAGAGCUGGGGGUGGGAAAAGAUUUAGGGACAGGGAGAGCCUGCCCUGGCUACCAAGGAGAAACUCAGUACCCAGCCUGCACUGGAGUGAGAAAACCCUACUGAGUUAGCCAGGGGGAUAGGGAAGUUGCAGAGGAAAGGUUGCAAGAAAGGGCGGUAACACACUCUACCUCCUGGCUUUCAGACCUCAGCCUUAUCUAAGGACCUCACAGAGAAAAACCCUUCUCAGAUGGAAUCAUUUGUUAACUAUCCGUUUGUACCAUUUCUUUGUACAGGCUUUCAAAUAAGAGGGAGAGAAUACAGAGCAAGUGCUUGCCCCUUGGUGCAACCUCAAGCCUAGUCCCUAUCAGAGACACAUCAGCCAAAUUGGUUUCCCAGGCCCCAGAGGCUGCUAACCUUGCUGAAAAGCAUUUUUUAAAUUUGUAUCUGUAAGGAGUAUUUUAAACAUGGUAAUUAACCAUACUAGUUACUCAUCCCUCUCCCUCCCCCAUUCUGUACCAGCCAACUGACCCUUGAGUGAAGUGGUCUUCUCAGCCAGCAGGCUUGAGCACCUAGGCUCCCCAUCUGUUGAGGUUUUUCAUUAAGGAGGGUGAAGAGGAUGUGUGUGUGGGUGUAUGUUUGAAUAACAAAGGAGAAACCCAACAUUCUAAAAAAGUGUUUCUCUACUUGACCUGGGGGAGCCAGAAGCCUGUUUACACUAUGGAUAUUCAAGGACAACCCAGGCCUGUUUUGACUUUAUCCUGAGGAUUAGUUGAAAUUGUCUCCUGAAGUCAAGAAUGGGUUAAUCCCAGUUACAGAAUCCAGGAAGGUCCUCUUCAUCUGGCAACUCUUGGCAUUACUCUGGUCCUUCUUUCAGAAACUGUAGGAAAAGAACAGGAUGAACAGCAGUUCAUAUUAAGUAAAUAAAAAGAGAAACAGAAGGCUCCAGUUCCCACAGGCCUAUAUAGCCUGAUUACUUCAGGGCACUUGCAACUUUCUAGAGAGGGGAUGUAGCUAUGGCUUGGGUGAGUGGGCCUAUCCCUUGACACUUCAAGCACAGGGAAGUGAGACUGAGUGGCCAGCUACACCCAUAGCACCUCUGAGGACUGGCUCUCUUAGAGCUCUCUUGUAGAAGGUCUGGAUGGAGAGAAAAAAGAUAGGGUAGAUGAAUCCUGUGCAUUUACUGCAUUGGUUAUGCUGGUGGUAGAGAAGAUCAUCACAGAGGAUGAAAUCUUAGUUAUCACUGCUCCCUUGUCUCCUACUCCAGCUACAAAGCCCUUUAUUUUGGGUGCCCAGAGUUGACCAAAUGGAUUUAUACGCCUGGCCCAAAACCCAUUCCUAAACAUUUCACUCAGGUCUCAUACUCACCUUGGCAAAUUGGGAAAGUACAAAGAUAAUUCAGAGAUCCAUUUUCAGGCCAGACCCAGCGUUCUGAAGCACUGUAAACAAAAGGUUUCCACACACGAAGAACCAAGGUUAAUGGAUGUCCAGUCAUUUGCAGUAGCAGAAGCAGGUGAAGGGUUCCCAGAAGAUCAGCAUGGUGGGAGAUAUUACAGAAGUCUUCUUGUCCCAGAUCUUGUGGUAAAAUCUCUUCUUCCUGCUCAUCGCUCAGUCAUGACUCUGCUACUCUAUGGACUGUAGCCUCGCAGACUCCUCUGUCCAUGGGAUUUCCCAGGCAAGAAUAUUGGAGUGGGUUGCCAUUUCCUCCUCCAGGGCAACGAUGCCAUCUCCGUCGCCGGCAAAAACACACAAAGGAGGCCCCCACCCAGGCUCGAACCUGGGGGCACACUGGAGAGAGGGCUGGCGUGGACCCCGAGUCGGAGAGCCUCCCACCCCCACGGGGAGCAAUAGCUGCCGCCUCCCCGGGGCAGUGGGGCGGUCGCGCCGCACAAAGGCCGGCUCGGCUAGCGCCAUGUGACGCGCGCUCGACCCGCUCUCCCGGCGGCGCGGCGGACGGGUGCGUGUUCCGACCCACCUGAACACUUUCCGAAAGACAAACGCGGUUCCUCCUACUUCGGAGCAAGUCCGGGCCAGCUGGGAUCCGACCAGAAACCGCAAGCGGAGGAGACGCGGGUACGCAGGCUGAGGGUAACGGAGGGCGCGACCUGCCGCCCCGCGCUCUGCCGCGCCAGGCCCGAGGGUAGCGCCUCCCGGUCCUCCCCGCGCCAGGGACGGCAGCCGCCCAGCAGCCCCGCCCGUGGGCCAGGCAGGGCGCCGGGUGCCCGGAGCGUCCCGGCCCCACCUCCACGCCCCACCUCCGCGCACUUCCCGCUUGCCCCAGUGACACCCUUCACCGCUGCUGUCCCCCCAGUAAGGGACAAACCCGUCUCUGAGGGCAGGACGAGAGAAAACCUCAAUAGGUGGAAAGGUUCUUGCAAAUACUUUUAUUUAAGAGUUUUAUAAAGGAUGUCCCAAAGGAUCAGAAUUCAGGGGAGACGCUGAACGAGUUCUCUCAUUGACCUUCAGGACUAUUUCCUAUUUGUAUGGGAGGAAAGAGGUUAAUAACCCCUGUUGAACUUGGAACUAAACUUGAAUGCAAUUUAAAAUAACCAUUAAAAUACACUUAAAACACUAACCACAAUGAUAUGCCUCUUCUCUUUUUUGUGAUAUGAGGGAAGGCUUGGAGUAGUUGUACUUUAGCUGUUGGGGGUUCAUUUUAGAAACACCGUGAAGGAGCAGACUACAGCUGGGGGCGAGGGGCAGGCUUCAGGCAGAGCUGUUCACAGCAGGAAGGCCUGGGUGAGGGGGUGGGGAAGCACUCUUAUACCCCUCUUGAGUGGCACCCGCUGUCCUUUCGGUCAUAAAUUCUAAGAGAGUUC
This is a long non-coding RNA of Bos taurus (domestic cattle), 3594 nucleotides long. The record is from Ensembl. Lineage: Eukaryota; Metazoa; Chordata; Mammalia; Artiodactyla; Bovidae.